RNAcentral lists this ribosomal RNA (200 nucleotides) under uncultured bacterium. RNAcentral describes it as "partial 16S ribosomal RNA". It matches the Rfam family "Bacterial small subunit ribosomal RNA", at positions 30 to 230 of the family's 1533-position model. The record is from RNAcentral.
AGUGAACGCUGGCGGCAGGCCUAACACAUGCAAGUCGAGCGGCAGCGCGGGGGCAACCCUGGCGGCGAGCGGCGGACGGGUGAGGAAUACAUCGGAAUCUACCCAGUCGUGGGGGACAACGUAGGGAAACUUACGCUAAUACCGCAUACGACCUGAGGGUGAAAGCGGCGGACCGCAAGGCGUCGCGCGAUUGGAUGAGC